GAUGAACGCUGGCGGCGUGCCUAAUACAUGCAAGUCGAGCGAACGGACGAGAAGCUUGCUUCUCUGAUGUUAGCGGCGGACGGGUGAGUAACACGUGGAUAACCUACCUAUAAGACUGGGAUAACUUCGGGAAACCGGAGCUAAUACCGGAUAAUAUUUUGAACCGCAUGGUUCAAAAGUGAAAGACGGUCUUGCUGUCACUUAUAGAUGGAUCCGCGCUGCAUUAGCUAGUUGGUAAGGUAACGGCUUACCAAGGCAACGAUGCAUAGCCGACCUGAGAGGGUGAUCGGCCACACUGGAACUGAGACACGGUCCAGACUCCUACGGGAGGCAGCAGUAGGGAAUCUUCCGCAAUGGGCGAAAGCCUGACGGAGCAACGCCGCGUGAGUGAUGAAGGUCUUCGGAUCGUAAAACUCUGUUAUUAGGGAAGAACAUAUGUGUAAGUAACUGUGCACAUCUUGACGGUACCUAAUCAGAAAGCCACGGCUAACUACGUGCCAGCAGCCGCGGUAAUGCGUAGGUGGCAAGCGUUAUCCGGAAUUAUUGGGCGUAAAGCGCGCGUAGGCGGUUUUUUAAGUCUGAUGUGAAAGCCCACGGCUCAACCGUGGAGGGUCAUUGGAAACUGGAAAGCUUGAGUGCAGAAGAGGAAAGUGGAAUUCCAUGUGUAGCGGUGAAAUGCGCAGAGAUAUGGAGGAACACCAGUGGCGAAGGCGACUUUCUGGUCUGUAACUGACGCUGAUGUGCGAAAGCGUGGGGAUCAAACAGGAUUAGAUACCCUGGUAGUCCACGCCGUAAACGAUGAGUGCUAAGUGUUAGGGGGUUUCCGCCCCUUAGUGCUGCAGCUAACGCAUUAAGCACUCCGCCUGGGGAGUACGACCGCAAGGUUGAAACUCAAAGGAAUUGACGGGGACCCGCACAAGCGGUGGAGCAUGUGGUUUAAUUCGAAGCAACGCGAAGAACCUUACCAAAUCUUGACAUCCUUUGACAACUCUAGAGAUAGAGCCUUCCCCUUCGGGGGACAAAGUGACAGGUGGUGCAUGGUUGUCGUCAGCUCGUGUCGUGAGAUGUUGGGUUAAGUCCCGCAACGAGCGCAACCCUUAAGCUUAGUUGCCAUCAUUAAGUUGGGCACUCUAAGUUGACUGCCGGUGACAAACCGGAGGAAGGUGGGGAUGACGUCAAAUCAUCAUGCCCCUUAUGAUUUGGGCUACACACGUGCUACAAUGGACAAUACAAAGGGCAGCGAAACCGCGAGGUCAAGCAAAUCCCAUAAAGUUGUUCUCAGUUCGGAUUGUAGUCUGCAACUCGACUACAUGAAGCUGGAAUCGCUAGUAAUCGUAGAUCAGCAUGCUACGGUGAAUACGUUCCCGGGUCU
This 1372-nucleotide ribosomal RNA is filed under the name uncultured bacterium. RNAcentral describes it as "bacterial SSU rRNA". It matches the Rfam family "Bacterial small subunit ribosomal RNA", at positions 28 to 1381 of the family's 1533-position model. The record is from RNAcentral.